GGGGGGAGGUAUUAGGACAGAUUCACAUUCUGAGGACGUGUGCAACCAACAGUGAGAUGGAACUUAAUCAGAGAGGAUGCAACAUACAGUGCGGUUUUCUAUUAUGAGAUACAGGACAAAGAUAGCAAAAUGUAGGAACGUCUGACCAAGCCAGAAGUACCGUUGCCGGGGAUUGAACCCUGGUCUCUGCGGUGGUAGUGCUUAUACCUCUACACUACCAAACCAGACGGCCUGACUGCGAGCAUUUUUAACCGUGUGCCAUCACACUUACCGUAUCUAUGCAACACAUGUCUAUUCCUCAUUUCUUUAUUACUGAUUGUAAUGGUAGGAGAAACAGCAUAAGUGCAUUUUAACUUCAGUUUUUUUUUAAUGAUAUGUUUAGGGUUUGACUGACUUUCGUUUACAGACUGAGUUGAGCAACCCUCACCAGUGCGUAUGUAAGCCAAAGUGCAGAAGAGAAUCAGCAACAGCAAGUGACAAUCAAAGGCUUAUUACAAAAAGAGAAGCAUUGUAAAAUUAGCUUUGGCUAAUCAACCCAUAUUACAAUAUAUCAGAAUGUCUCUUGUACAGAAUCAAAUAUUUUACGUACUUGUCACUAUCAUGUAAUUACCAUGCUAUCUUUUCAACAGAUUGUUUUAAGAUGGUGGAGCAAGGGAUGUGUUGUUAGAGUGGAGUAGGAGCCAUUUUAUAUUAUGCCUGACAUGAUUAUCAGUGUUUUUAUUAUAUCAAAAUAAUGUGUGUAUUUUUGUUUGGCUUCUGGAACUUAUUUUCUAUGCUAAAUAUUUAUUUAGAAUAAGGUGCAUCAUCUUAGUCAUGCACUGUAAGGCACGAAAUCCAAUGACAAUGAGUACAGGAGCACAAAGUACAAUUAUGUCAAUACAUUAUUUUUAAUGAGGGAAAUUUGCAUUUUCAAAGGUCAAAGGACAGGAUGUGGCAGAGUGUAAAUUAAUUGGAAUUAUCAUAUAAUAACCAGAUGCAGAGGUGAAAUUGUAUUUGUUUUUAAUCAUAUAGUAAAAAAGAAUUCUCAAAAAGGUACACCCUCGAUCUGUACUUUUAACUUUAAUUGUUGAAGUACAAAUCCAAGCAAAAAUGUUGAUUCAUUGUGACAUUGACAGGGAUUUAAAGAACUUUAUUUUUGCUUUUUGUUAUCGCAAAUGCAACAUUGCUUUGCAUACCUUGUGAAAAUAAAUGAAUGGAGAGAUGAAUGUGAA
Molecule: long non-coding RNA, 1211 nt
Organism: Anguilla anguilla (European eel)
Lineage: Eukaryota; Metazoa; Chordata; Actinopteri; Anguilliformes; Anguillidae
Exons: 5
Source: RefSeq, a predicted model, not a curated record